AUUAGCUCAGCGGGAGAGCGCUUCCCUGACACGGAAGAGGUCACUGGUUCAAUCCCAGUAUCGCG
Molecule: transfer RNA, 65 nt
Filed under: Streptomyces sp. Root1295
Lineage: Bacteria; Bacillati; Actinomycetota; Actinomycetes; Kitasatosporales; Streptomycetaceae
Description: tRNA-Val
Rfam family: tRNA
About the family: Transfer RNA (tRNA) molecules are approximately 80 nucleotides in length.
Source: RNAcentral